GACGUAGGAUGCAAGCGUUGUCCGGAUUUAUUGGGCGUAAAGAGUUCGUAGGCGGUCUGUUAAGUCUGAUGUUAAAGAUCGGGGCCCAACCCCGGGAGUGCAUUGGAUACUGGCAGACUGGAGUGUGGUAGAGGUAAGUGGAAUUCCUGGUGUAGCGGUGAAAUGCGUAGAUAUCAGGAAGAACACCGGUGGCGUAGGCGACUUACUGGGCCAUAACUGACGCUGAGGAACGAAAGCCAGGGGAGCAAAUGGG
This 253-nucleotide ribosomal RNA is filed under the name uncultured bacterium. Its description in RNAcentral is "partial 16S ribosomal RNA". It matches the Rfam family "Bacterial small subunit ribosomal RNA", at positions 524 to 776 of the family's 1533-position model. The record is from RNAcentral.